Molecule: ribosomal RNA, 497 nt
Filed under: uncultured bacterium
Lineage: Bacteria
Description: partial 16S ribosomal RNA
Rfam family: Bacterial small subunit ribosomal RNA
Source: RNAcentral
GAUGAACGCUGGCGGCGUGCCUAACACAUGCCAGUCGAGCGAACGGACGAGAAGCUUGCUUCUCUGAUGUUAGCGGCGGACGGGUGAGUAACACGUGGAUAACCUACCUAUAAGACGGGGAUAACUACGGGAAACCGGAGCUAAUACCGGAUGAUAUUUUGAACCGCAUGGUUCAAAAGUGAAGGACGGCCUUGCUGUCACUUAUAGAUGGAUCCGCGCUGCAUUAGCUAGUUGGUAAGGUAACGGCUUACCAAGGCAACGAUGCAUAGCCGACCUGAGAGGGUGAUCGGCCACACUGGAACUGAGACACGGUCCAGACUCCUACGGGAGGCAGCAGUAGGGAAUCUUCGGCAAUGGGCGAAAGCCUGACGCAGCAACGCCGCGUGAGUGAUGAAGGUCUUCGGAUCGUAAAGCUCUGUUAUUGGGGAAGAACAUAUGUGUAAGUAACUGUGCACAUCUUGACGGUACCUAAUCAAAAAGCCCCGGCUAACUACGUG